AUUGAACGCUGGCGGCAGGCCUAACACAUGCAAGUCGAGCGGAUGAAGGGAGCUUGCUCCUGGAUUCAGCGGCGGACGGGUGAGUAAUGCCUAGGAAUCUGCCUGGUUGUGGGGGAUAACGUCCGGAAACGGGCGCUAAUACCGCAUACGUCCUGAGGGAGAAAGUGGGGGAUCUUCGGACCUCACGCUAUCAGAUGAGCCUAGGUCGGAUUAGCUAGUUGGUGGGGUAAAGGCCUACCAAGGCGACGAUCCGUAACUGGUCUGAGAGGAUGAUCAGUCACACUGGAACUGAGACACGGUCCAGACUCCUACGGGAGGCAGCAGUGGGGAAUAUUGGACAAUGGGCGAAAGCCUGAUCCAGCCAUGCCGCGUGUGUGAAGAAGGUCUUCGGAUUGUAAAGCACUUUAAGUUGGGAGGAAGGGCAGUAAGUUAAUACCUUGCUGUUUUGACGGUACCAACAGAAUAAGCACCGGCUAACUUCGUG
RNAcentral lists this ribosomal RNA (484 nucleotides) under uncultured bacterium. Its description in RNAcentral is "partial 16S ribosomal RNA". It matches the Rfam family "Bacterial small subunit ribosomal RNA", at positions 30 to 507 of the family's 1533-position model. The record is from RNAcentral.